ACGAACGCUGGCGGCGUGCUUAACACAUGCAAGUCGAACGGAAAGGCCCUGCUUUUGUGGGGUGCUCGAGUGGCGAACGGGUGAGUAACACGUGAGUAACCUGCCCUUGACUUUGGGAUAACUUCAGGAAACUGGGGCUAAUACCGGAUAGGAGCUCCUGCUGCAUGGUGGGGGUUGGAAAGUUUCGGCGGUUGGGGAUGGACUCGCGGCUUAUCAGCUUGUUGGUGGGGUAGUGGCUUACCAAGGCUUUGACGGGUAGCCGGCCCGAGAGGAUGACCGGCCACAUUGGGACUGAGAUACGGCCCAGACUCCUACGGGAGGCAGCGGUGGGGAAUAUUGCACAAUGGGCGGAAGCCUGAUGCAGCAACGCCGCGUGCGGGAUGACGGCCUUCGGGUUGUAAACCGCUUUCGCCUGUGACGAAGCGUGAGUGACGGUAAUGGGUAAAGAAGCACCGGCUAACUACGUG
This 467-nucleotide ribosomal RNA is filed under the name uncultured bacterium. Its description in RNAcentral is "partial 16S ribosomal RNA". It matches the Rfam family "Bacterial small subunit ribosomal RNA", at positions 29 to 507 of the family's 1533-position model. The record is from RNAcentral.